Uranotaenia lowii is the source of this 1573-nucleotide long non-coding RNA. RefSeq lists it as uncharacterized. The transcript is spliced from 3 exons. Lineage: Eukaryota; Metazoa; Arthropoda; Insecta; Diptera; Culicidae. The record is from RefSeq and is a predicted model, not a curated record.
ACUAAAUAAACCGGCUCAAAUGUCUCGACUCGGAUCGGACUGGAGGAUGUGGGCUGUUCCUGGAGCCCGGUGGUUGUGUCGAAGACAGAAUGCUGAUAUUGGAUGGCGCUUUCUGGCUGCUGUUGGCUUUCAGCUAUUGAAAAAGGUGCCCCGGGCGAUGCGAUUCAGCCAAGGACUAAAUAAACGCCAGUUUUUUUGGAGUGUACCAAUAUAACUUGGACAGAAAUUUAUUUCAAAAUCUGCAAGAUGUUAAGGCUGUCGUGAUACAUUAGAUUCUCGUGGAAACUUUUCCUACGCAAAGGUUCCGGCGUUCCCUGGCUGAGACUUUCGGAGCAGUGCCGCGCUCGGAGGCUUUUGGAUUCCAACGCUGCUGCUAACUGUGAUGGCAGUCCAAACGUACCAUAUAGCGGUGCCGGUUCGGCUGACUAUGAACUCGGAACGGCCACUUUCCGCAGCUAUUGUCGGUUUACGGGGUGCUUUCGAAACACGUGGCGUAUACCAGUUCAAAUCUUUCUUCGUGUUGAUGUUUUUGUUUGUGAAGUUUUCGUGUAAGAUACGAUAUAUGUUCCAAUAAGUAUUAUCAAGUAUUAUCAUCAUGUUUAUAUUGACAGUCAAAUUGACUGAUUUUGUUAUACAAAACUAAAACAAAAUCGAAUAAAAGUUUGAUGCGAUUUGAUUUUAGUAUUGAUAUGUAUGGAAAAACACAUUUUUUGUUACUAUUCGAAAAUUACUCCAAUAAGAAAAAAGCGAUCAAUUUUGAAAUUUUCAGCUUAGUAAAUGGUUUGUCGGCCUGGUCUACAUGCGUGGGUAUAUCGAUCAUAGAAAAAAACAUACCGAUCAAAAUCAAUUAAGAACAUGAAUAUAAAAUUAAAGAUUACAAUAUAAAAAACACCAUUUAAAUAUCAUCUGAAUCGAAGAUUACCAUCUGUUAAAAGAGUUUAACUAUUUUAUAACAGAUUUAUAAGACUUUCUCAUAGUUUAACUACAAAUUCGAUUAAAUUUUAGAGGUUUUCAUAAAAAUCAGAACAAUUCAGGACAUUUAGGCACCAAUUUUUAAAACUCAGGACAACUCGAGAGUUUUUAAAAGAUUAAGACGGUCUCUCGAAAAUCAGGACAAAUCCCGAUAAAUUAGGUUACCUGGCACCUCUGAGCACAAGAGAAACAACAACAACAACUGAACAAUUGUAAUGCACGUCAGAGGUACCAGGUGUCCUGAUUUUUCAGGACUUGUCCUGACUUUCGAGAGGUUGUCCUGAUUUUUCUAAAACUUUCGAAUUUUCCUGAUUUUUGACAAUUUGUUUUCAAAAUGUUGAAUUGUCCUGGAUGUCAAAAAAAUCUAAAAUCACAAUCGAAUUUGUAAUUGAACUAUGAAAACUACGAACAAAUCGGUUAUGUCCUGAUUUAUGACAAAACCACCUGGAACCCCUUAUUUACGUACAUAACUAUAACUAUGCCCAGGGUGUAAGGUGUCCUGAUUUUUCAGGAUUUGUCCUGAUUUUCGAGAGGCCGUCCUGAUUUUCGAGAGGCCGUCCUGAUUUUUGAAAAACGCUUGAAUUGUCCUAAUUUUUGAAAA